CCAGAAUUAUCAAUAACUAUCUAACGUGUGCAUCCCGAACUAGGAUCACCACACCGGUCUGUCAUGACCAUGAGAACCUACAACAAAGCAGUGCUCCUCGUCCUUGCCAUGGUGAUGGCGGUGCUGUCGACAGGGAUCUGCACGGUGCCGGCGCCGGCGCCGAGCUUGGAGGAGUUCCCGACGACGACAGAGAACACGUGUGUGAAGAUCCUCGCCGACAGCGGCUGCGUCCGCAACCACAAGGCGUGCCACGACAACUGCUUCAUCAAGCUCAAGGGCAAUGGCGUGUGCCUUCGCGACGCGUGCUGGUGCUCCUACACAUGCAAGCCAUCGCUGCUGUCGCCGCCACCGGCGGCCCAGUGAAACUGCCAUACAGGGCAGCGGGACGCCGAGAUGACGUUCAGAUUUGUGUGACAUCCUAGAUUCCUAGUAUCCUCCUAGAGGCCGGCGGUGUCGCUUGCCAUGAGGCAUGCUCGAAAUCGAGAAUAAUUUUAGAUGGAUGAGUUCGUGUCCAAGCCUUGCGCUUCGAGAAUUGUGUGCCAACACAACGGAACGGACACACGUUCUCUGAAUUCAUGUAUGGAAUAGGUCGAACGUGUACUCCAGAGAAUUCCGCGCGCUCGCCAGUCUUCCUAGCUCGUCGGCAAACCAACGGAUACUCGGCGUAUUUUGGAUGAGCUCCUCUAGUCCUCUCUCCUCUGUUAGAUGACUGCUCUUAAUCCAUUUAAAUGCUAGUAUAUUGUAUCUAUUUUGUCCAUCGGUCAUCCCGUUUGAUCGGGCGUUUAGCCUGCCCUGAAUAAACGGCUAAACUAUAGGUGACUAACUAUUUAGGUUAGGUGAACACAUGCCUAGUAGUAUGUGGUGUUCAGUGGUC
RNAcentral lists this unclassified non-coding RNA (874 nucleotides) under Zea mays. Its description in RNAcentral is "misc RNA Zm00001eb193220". Lineage: Eukaryota; Viridiplantae; Streptophyta; Magnoliopsida; Poales; Poaceae. The record is from RNAcentral.